RNAcentral lists this ribosomal RNA (400 nucleotides) under uncultured microorganism. RNAcentral's name for it is "bacterial SSU rRNA". It matches the Rfam family "Bacterial small subunit ribosomal RNA", at positions 9 to 410 of the family's 1533-position model. The record is from RNAcentral.
GAGUUUGAUCUUGGCUCAGAUUGAACGCUGGCGGCAUGCCUUACACAUGCAAGUCGAACGGCAGCAUGAUCUAGCUUGCUAGAUUGAUGGCGAGUGGCGAACGGGUGAGUAAUACAUCGGAACGUGCCCUGUAGUGGGGAUAACUAGUCGAAAGAUUAGCUAAUACCGCAUACGACCUGAGGGUGAAAGUGGGGGACCGCAAGGCCUCAUGCUAUAGGAGCGGCGAUGUCUGAUUAGCUAGUUGGUGGGGUAAAGGCCCACCAAGGCGACGAUCAGUAGCUGGUCUGAGAGGACGAUCAGCCACACUGGGACUGAGACACGGCCCAGACUCCUACGGGAGGCAGCAGUGGGGAAUUUGGACAAUGGCGAAGCCUGAUCCAGCAAUGCCGCGUGUGUGAAG